GACUGACCCGUGCGAGCUGCAGUUGACACUCCCACCAAGGCAAGAUCACCCAGCUCAUCAUGCUAGAGCACGUUUUUAAUGGGCUCCCCAACAACAAGGCGAUGUGUCAUCCAUAUCAACUUUCAAUGCCAUUUACUGGUGACCACGGGUAACUGGGAAUAAGGGUUCGAUUCCUGAGAGGGAGCCUGAGAAACGGCUACCACAUGCAAGGAAGGCAGCAGGCACGCAAAUUAACCACUAACAAUGUGGGAAGGUAG
Non-coding RNA from Pelobates cultripes (western spadefoot toad), 257 nucleotides. The record is from the annotation of a GenBank genome assembly. Lineage: Eukaryota; Metazoa; Chordata; Amphibia; Anura; Pelobatidae.